This 336-nucleotide unclassified non-coding RNA is filed under the name soil metagenome. RNAcentral describes it as "partial contains 5.8S ribosomal RNA, internal transcribed spacer 2, and large subunit ribosomal RNA". The stretch from base 1 to 120 matches the Rfam family "5.8S ribosomal RNA", at positions 35 to 154 of the family's 154-position model. The record is from RNAcentral.
GAUGAAGAACGCAGCGAAAUGCGAUAAGUAGUGUGAAUUGCAGAAUUCAGUGAAUCAUCGAAUCUUUGAACGCAUAUUGCGCCCCUUGGUAUUCCAUGGGGCAUGCCUGUUCGAGCGUCAUUUGUACCUUCAAGCUUUGCUUGGUGUUGGGUGUUUGUCUCGCCUUUGCGUGUAGACUCGCCUUAAAAUAAUUGGCAGCCGGCGUAUUGAUUUCGGAGCGCAGUACAUCUCGCGCUUUGCACUCAUAACGACAGCGUCCAAAAGUACAUUUUACACUCUUGACCUCGGAUCAGGUAGGGAUACCCGCUGAACUUAAGCAUAUCAAUAAGCGGAGGA